RNAcentral lists this ribosomal RNA (507 nucleotides) under Desulfuromonadaceae bacterium enrichment culture clone MS_ANT_O4. RNAcentral's name for it is "bacterial SSU rRNA". It matches the Rfam family "Bacterial small subunit ribosomal RNA", at positions 49 to 558 of the family's 1533-position model. The record is from RNAcentral. Lineage: Bacteria; Pseudomonadati; Thermodesulfobacteriota; Desulfuromonadia; Desulfuromonadales; Desulfuromonadaceae.
UAACACAUGCAAGUCGAACGCGAACGGAAUCUUCGGAUUCCAAGUAGAGUGGCGCACGGGUGAGUAACACGUGGAUAACCUGCCCUAGAGUCUGGGAUAACACUUCGAAAGAGGUGCUAAUACCGGAUAAGCCCACGCCUUCUUCGGAAGAAGUGGGAAAAGAUUUAUUGCUCUAGGAUGGGUCCGCGGUCCAUUAGCUAGUUGGUGGGGUAAUGGCCUACCAAGGCUGCGAUGGAUAGCUGGUCUGAGAGGAUGAUCAGCCACACUGGAACUGAGACACGGUCCAGACUCCUACGGGAGGCAGCAGUGGGGAAUUUUGCGCAAUGGGGGAAACCCUGACGCAGCAAUACCGCGUGAAGGAUGAAGGCCUUUGGGUCGUAAACUUCUGUCAGAGGGGAAGAAAUACUCGCAAGAGUGCUGACGGUACCCUCAAAGGAAGCACCGGCUAACUCCGUGCCAGCAGCCGCGGUAAUACGGAGGGUGCAAGCGUUGUUCGGAAUUAUUGGG